This 73-nucleotide transfer RNA is filed under the name Mustela putorius furo (domestic ferret). It matches the Rfam family "tRNA". Rfam says of the family: Transfer RNA (tRNA) molecules are approximately 80 nucleotides in length. Their secondary structure includes four short double-helical elements and three loops (D, anti-codon, and T loops). The record is from Rfam by way of RNAcentral. Lineage: Eukaryota; Metazoa; Chordata; Mammalia; Carnivora; Mustelidae.
ACCCGGCUGGUUCAGUUGGUAGAACAUGUGACUCUUGAUCUUGGGGUUGUGAGUUUGAGCCCCAUGUUGGGUC